GGGCGAUUUACUCAGAGGUAGAGUGUUCCUUUCACACGGUAGAAGUCGGAGGUUCGAAUCCUCUAUCGCCCA
RNAcentral lists this transfer RNA (72 nucleotides) under Candidatus Aminicenantota bacterium. Its description in RNAcentral is "Candidatus Aminicenantes bacterium tRNA-Val". It matches the Rfam family "tRNA". Rfam says of the family: Transfer RNA (tRNA) molecules are approximately 80 nucleotides in length. Their secondary structure includes four short double-helical elements and three loops (D, anti-codon, and T loops). Further hydrogen bonds mediate the characteristic L-shaped molecular structure. tRNAs have two regions of fundamental functional importance: the anti-codon, which is responsible for specific mRNA codon recognition, and the 3' end, to which the tRNAs corresponding amino acid is attached (by aminoacyl-tRNA synthetases). tRNAs cope with the degeneracy of the genetic code in two manners: having more than one tRNA (with a specific anti-codon) for a particular amino acid; and 'wobble' base-pairing, i.e. permitting non-standard base-pairing at the 3rd anti-codon position. The record is from RNAcentral. Lineage: Bacteria; Candidatus Aminicenantota.